AUUGAACGCUGGCGGCAUGCUUUACACAUGCAAGUCGGACGGCAGCACAGAGAAGCUUGCUUCUUGGGUGGCGAGUGGCGAACGGGUGAGUAACAUAUCGGAACGUACCGAGCAGUGGGGGAUAACUAAUCGAAAGAUUAGCUAAUACCGCAUAUUUUCUGAGGAAGAAAGCAGGGGACCAUUUGGCCUUGCGCUGUUUGAGCGGCCGAUAUCUGAUUAGCUAGUUGGUGGGGUAAAGGCCUACCAAGGCGACGAUCAGUAGCGGGUCUGAGAGGAUGAUCCGCCACACUGGGACUGAGACACGGCCCAGACUCCUACGGGAGGCAGCAGUGGGGAAUUUUGGACAAUGGGCGCAAGCCUGAUCCAGCCAUGCCGCGUGUCUGAAGAAGGCCUUCGGGUUGUAAAGGACUUUUGUCAGGGAAGAAAAGGGCGGGGUUAAUACCCCUGUCUGAUGACGGUACCUGAAGAAUAAGCACCGGCUAACUACGUGCCAGCAGCCGCGGUAAUACGUAGGGUGCGAGCGUUAAUCGGAAUUACUGGGCGUAAAGCGGGCGCAGACGGUUACUUAAGCAGGAUGUGAAAUCCCCGGGCUCAACCUGGGAACUGCGUUCUGAACUGGGUGACUAGAGAGUGUCAGAGGGAGGUAGAAUUCCACGUGUAGCAGUGAAAUGCGUAGAGAUGUGGAGGAAUACCGAUGGCGAAGGCAGCCUCCUGGGAUAACACUGACGUUCAUGCCCGAAAGCGUGGGUAAGCAAACAGGAUUAGAUACCCUGGUAGUCCACGCCCUAAACGAUGUCGAUUAGCUGUUGGGCAGCAUGACUGCUUAGUAGCGAAGCUAACGCGUGAAGUCGACCGCCUGGGGAGUACUGUCGCAAGAUUAAAACUCAAAGGAAUUGACGGGGACCCGCACAAGCGG
This 916-nucleotide ribosomal RNA is filed under the name Neisseria flava. RNAcentral's name for it is "bacterial SSU rRNA". It matches the Rfam family "Bacterial small subunit ribosomal RNA", at positions 28 to 932 of the family's 1533-position model. Lineage: Bacteria; Pseudomonadati; Pseudomonadota; Betaproteobacteria; Neisseriales; Neisseriaceae. The record is from RNAcentral.